This 511-nucleotide ribosomal RNA is filed under the name uncultured archaeon. RNAcentral's name for it is "bacterial SSU rRNA". It matches the Rfam family "Bacterial small subunit ribosomal RNA", at positions 377 to 882 of the family's 1533-position model. The record is from RNAcentral.
GGGCACCUGAUCCAGCCAUGCCGCGUGUGNAAGAAGGCCUUCGGGUUGUAAAGCACUUUCGGACGGAACGAAAUCGCGUCGGUGAAUAUCCGGCGUGGAUGACGGUACCGUAAGAAGAAGCACCGGCUAACUACGUGCCAGCAGCCGCGGUAAUACGUAGGGUGCGAGCGUUAAUCGGAAUUACUGGGCGUAAAGCGUGCGCAGGCGGUUUCGCAAGUCAGACGUGAAAGCCCCGGGCUUAACCUGGGAAUGGCGCCUGUGACUGUACGGCUAGAGUGUGUCAGAGGGGGGUAGAAUUCCACGUGUAGCAGUGAAAUGCGUAGAUAUGUGGAGGAAUACCAAUGGCGAAGGCAGCCCCCUGGGAUAACACUGACGCUCAUGCACGAAAGCGUGGGGAGCAAACAGGAUUAGAUACCCUGGUAGUCCACGCCCUAAACGAUGCUGACUAGUUGUUCGGGAUUUACAUCCUGAGUAACGUAGCUAACGCGUGAAGUCAGCCGCCUGGGGAGUA